GUGCUCUCUCUCUCUUAGUACAUUAUUUGCUUGAAGCAUUGCUGUUAUGUAUCCUCGGCGAUCCAUGUGAUAGUGGGAAGUGAGGAAUUAUCAGAAGAAGGUGCUGUAAAAACACCCACACUCCUACCCAAGUUACACAAAACCAAAUAUUUUCUAAUAUAUAUUGACUUCUCGAGUGAUUAUACAUGUUUUGCUAACAUUAUCUAAUAUAUCAACAGCUAUUACAUGAACAUAUGUGUAUAGCCUGGC
Molecule: long non-coding RNA, 249 nt
Organism: Haliotis rubra (blacklip abalone)
Lineage: Eukaryota; Metazoa; Mollusca; Gastropoda; Lepetellida; Haliotidae
Exons: 3
Source: RefSeq, a predicted model, not a curated record